This 712-nucleotide small RNA is filed under the name Pongo abelii (Sumatran orangutan). Its description in RNAcentral is "retained intron". The record is from RNAcentral. Lineage: Eukaryota; Metazoa; Chordata; Mammalia; Primates; Hominidae.
GGUGAUCACUUACUCCAGUCGUCAUGUCUACAAUAACUUGACUGAGGAACAGAAGGGCCGAGUGGCCUUUGCUUCCAAUUUCCUGGCAGGAGAUGCCUCCUUGCAGAUUGAACCUCUGAAGCCCAGUGAUGAGGGCCGGUACACCUGCAAGGUUAAGAAUUCAGGGCGCUACGUGUGGAGCCAUGUCAUCUUAAAAGUCUUAGUGAGACCAUCCAAGCCCAAGUGUGAGUUGGAAGGAGAGCUGACAGAAGGAAGUGACCUGACUUUGCAGUGUGAGUCAUCCUCUGGCACAGAGCCCAUUGUGUAUUACUGGCAGCGAAUCCGAGAGAAAGAGGGAGAGGAUGAACGUCUGCCUCCCAAAUCUAGGAUUGACUACAACCACCCUGGGCGAGUUCUGCUGCAGAAUCUUACCAUGUCCUACUCUGGACUGUACCAGUGCACAGCAGGCAAUGAAGCUGGGAAGGAAAGCUGUGUGGUGCGAGUAACUGUACAGUAAAAUAGAUGUACAAAGCAUCGGCAUGGUUGCAGGAGCAGUGACAGGCAUAGUGGCUGGAGCCCUGCUGAUUUUCCUCUUGGUGUGGCUGCUAAUCCGAAGGAAAGACAAAGAAAGAUAUGAGGAAGAAGAGAGACCUAAUGAAAUUCGAGAAGAUGCUGAAGCUCCGAAAGCCCGUCUUGUGAAACCCAGCUCCUCUUCCUCAGGCUCUCGGAGCUC